RNAcentral lists this small RNA (224 nucleotides) under Mycobacterium kansasii. RNAcentral's name for it is "c-di-AMP sequence". It matches the Rfam family "c-di-AMP riboswitch aptamer (ydaO/yuaA leader)". From Rfam's summary of the family: This family represents a conserved RNA structure found upstream of the ydaO and yuaA genes in Bacillus subtilis and related genes in other bacteria. The ydaO/yuaA element is thought to act as a genetic "off" switch for the ydaO and yuaA genes in its native state. The record is from RNAcentral. Lineage: Bacteria; Bacillati; Actinomycetota; Actinomycetes; Mycobacteriales; Mycobacteriaceae.
UCCUGCAACGCGCCCAGCUCCAUCCAGCAGGCGAGGGAUUCCGACCACGGAUGGAGGCGGGGGACCCACCAGUUCCGCCGAGAUCGGACCGGGGCCUGUUCACCGCUCCUUGGGGUCAAGCCGACGUACUCACACCGAAGUACGACACUGGCCGGGUGACGUCUCUGGUUUGAAUCCAACCCGGACCCGACAGCCGACUUUGCAGGCGUGCACCGAGAGGAAAG